UACGUAGGCAGCAAGCGUUGUUCGGAGUUACUGGGCGUAAAGGGUGUAGGCGGUUCCCUAAGUUUGGUGUGAAAUCUCCCGGCUCAACUGGGAGGGUGCGCCGAAAACUGGGGGGCUAGAGUACUGGAUGGGAGAGUGGAAUUCCUGGUGUAGCGGUGAAAUGCGUAGAUAUCAGGAGGAACACCUGUGGUGUAGACGGCUCUCUGGACAGUAACUGACGCUGAGACACGAAAGCGUGGGUAGCAAACAGG
RNAcentral lists this ribosomal RNA (251 nucleotides) under uncultured bacterium. RNAcentral describes it as "partial 16S ribosomal RNA". It matches the Rfam family "Bacterial small subunit ribosomal RNA", at positions 524 to 776 of the family's 1533-position model. The record is from RNAcentral.